This 134-nucleotide small nucleolar RNA is filed under the name Pelusios castaneus (West African mud turtle). Lineage: Eukaryota; Metazoa; Chordata; Testudines; Pelomedusidae. The record is from RNAcentral.
GACAACCCUGAUCAAAACUGCCUCUCUCUCUUGUGUGGUUGAUGUGAUCAAAAAGCGGCUGAAAGUGACUUUUUUGUUAACAGUCACUGUUCAGUUAUUGUAACUAUCCAGUGACAUUUCACAAAAAUAAACCU